AAGACUAUACUUUCAGGGAUCAUUUCUAUAGUUCUUAACUAGGAAAUGUGUUUUGAAACUGUAGUAUCUUCCAAACCACGAUGAUGAUCUUUGAUGCUCUUUUCUGAGUAUGAAUCUGGUGUAGAGUAAUGAUUUGUUUCAUAAGCUUUACAUCAUUGAUGAACAUUCCUUAUUGCGCCGUUGCAGUAAGGAGGAAAAGGGUAUGUUCAGAGUGGUU
Small nucleolar RNA from Sinocyclocheilus rhinocerous, 217 nucleotides. NCBI's taxonomy places the organism in Eukaryota, Metazoa, Chordata, Actinopteri, Cypriniformes, Cyprinidae. The record is from Ensembl.